AUGAGCCAGAUGGAACGAUAGCUGCCAUUUUAAAGAGCAACGCGCUUCUUUUGGACGUUUCGCUCCGGCGUGACCUUGUGAACUUGCCUUCGUCGUGACCUCGAAAAUUCCCAGAUGUGGCUCCCCGAACACCCCUCCACAUCCCUGAGCUUAUUUGUGCAGGCUAUUACCCAAGCAGGAAGUGACAUCAACGGGUCCAAACUAAAAAUAUGUCGCAGGACGGACUCUGUAGGAUGUCCAGGACCGGUGUUUGCAUGAAAGGAUGCCUCGCACCGGCUCCACAGAGUGAUGCUCACUGAAGGCUGCAGGGAGAGCCCCACACAGGCGACACAGACAGACGCACGGGAGGCUGAGCUCUCUAUCAGGGCUGUCUGCUUAAAGGAGUGCAGUCUUCUAUCCAGCUAUGGCUGAGAUUUCAACUGACAUCCAAAGGCCCUGAUCUGGUCUGGUCUGGUCUGGUCUGCUCUGCUCUGGUCUGGUCUGCUCUGGUCGUACACCUGUUCCCUUAAAUGACGUUUACCCAGCCGUCUGUACCACUGCUCCUGGCUAUCUUCACCCUCUAUGGCUCCUUCAUGAUGGCCCCCUAAUCUCCGCCAGUGUGGUUCCAUGUACGCAUUGCAAGGCGACUGCGUAAUCAAGCCUGUGAACUCGACAUCUGAAGGAAGGAUUCUGUUUCUGAUCGCGUCGCCAUUGAAGUCCAUCCAUUUUCUGAACAUGGAUGUGUUGAGGCGCUCAAGCUUGCACUCUUUGAUGACGUUCAAAAAGAACAAGACGGGACUGACGGCAGUGGUUUGGAACCGCAGGGAAUAAUCGUGUUGUCGAGGUGUCGGGAAGAGGAUGUGUCGUUUAAACGCCAAGUGAGGAAUUAUUGACUGGAAUGAUGAGAUCUCACGAUGAUUCACUGCAGCAUCUCUUUUGUCUAAGGCAGAAGGGAUGUAACGUGUGUGCAGGGUCUCCUCAUUUGCCUUCAGGGAAUUGAAAAAGGCUGUAUUUUCGCCUCUCCUGAGUUAUAAACUGCUGGCCUUUCUGCUAGUCCUAUAGUCAUCCAGCCGUUUUAUUGCCUCAGUGGGGGAACAGAGUUCAGACAGCAGUCAUCGGCCAAAACAGAGGUAAAACUGUUUCGGCCUGCGCAGUGAGGCCGUCAAGCCAUUAGCGAGUCCAAGCACUGAUAAUGAAGCCAUGGAGGUGGUCUGAGCCAGUGCUGCAAAGGAGCUGGAGCACAGGAGGAAGGUAGAUUAGGAUAAUUACCUGGCCAUGGGGGCACAAUGAGGGAAAAAGAAAUCUCGCUUCCUGAAGGCCUUGAUCAGCAAAGGAGCACAGUACAAUCAGGUGUGCGCCACGUCCCUCACGUGUACGUGUUUGUUUGCUGUUUGUGUAGCUGUGGUUUAGGUCUCCCACACGUACUGUAAGGACAUCCUAAAUUUGGCAGAGACUUUGAAGAGCCUAUGAGGUCAGGUUUUAAAUUAUGGUCUGCACCCACACCGAGCGUUCUCUCCUCACUCUUGUAAAUCCAUUUUCCACACAAUGCAUUUCAAAUCAAAGUGGCGUCACCAUAACGCGCCUUAGGAAACAUUAAGCCAUAGUGCAUUGCUUUCAUGUGUGAUAGCAUAGCCCCUGUAUGCUUUGAUGUGCUCACUUUUUUUUUUUUAAUGCUUUAUUAAUAAUAACACAUCGGCUCCUUCUCACACCACCAUCAGCUGCUUCUUUCUCUCCUCCUGAACUGCAUCCCUCACUCUUCCCGUGCCUCAGCUGCUUCAUCCCUCUCCCCACAGCCCCUGAGCCUGGUCUCAGGAUUGGCCUGUUUGUGUUUGGGAGGGGGAUUAGAGGGAAUGACAUGGGCCUCGAGAUGAAGAGAGUCACAAAGACCUAUCAGAGGGCAGGGAGUCGAGGCACCGCAACACUAUUGGUCGCUGAGAAAAUCAGACACGUCUUCAUUUCUUCAAGCCAUCAUCGCCGUGCGCCUAGCUUUCAUUUCCCUGCCUGGGAGGGAAGAGAGAAGAGGGAGGGGGGGUCAGGAUCUGAGUUUCUGUUUGUGAGUUUAAGUGUGUGUGCACAUGUGUGUUUGCUCGCAUGUUGUGUGCAGUAAACAUAGAAAUGCGCGGGGCUGAGCAUGUAGACAGUGAUAGCAAUCACCUCCUCCAAAGCUGGCCAAAACACAAAGCAGCCUGCGCGUCUCCAGUGUUGUCCUAGCUGAGCGCCAUGAAUGGGAUGUCUGAUUCAUGCAAGCCUCUAAUUAUUUCAGCUUAAUCUCUGGAUGUUUUACAUUAGUGCUACCGGCAAAAGUAUCCCAAAAACACACAAUGGCUGCUCGAUAUUUGCUGAUAUUCCUGGCGAAUUCUGUGUGAUGUUAACAAUUUGCCGGAUCCAUUAGCAGCCCGCCGCAGUCGCACGUGUACCACACCUGCACAAUGACAUCCGCUGGUUUAAUUUUCUGCUUUUGUGGAGUCUUGAGCGUGUUUUGAGGUGCGUUCUCCUCUCUUUCCGUCACAGAGUCUUAUUGAAUUUUGUUUUCGUUAUUGGAUUAUCACAACUUCCACGGCGCAGUUCUCGAGUCACUCAACUGCAAUCUGUGGCUGUAUUCAGUAAAAAAAAUAAAUAAAUAUAUUAAUAUACAAAAAUAA
Molecule: long non-coding RNA, 2621 nt
Organism: Mugil cephalus (flathead mullet)
Lineage: Eukaryota; Metazoa; Chordata; Actinopteri; Mugiliformes; Mugilidae
Exons: 10
Source: RefSeq, a predicted model, not a curated record